Peromyscus maniculatus bairdii (prairie deer mouse) is the source of this 1305-nucleotide non-coding RNA. The record is from RefSeq and is a predicted model, not a curated record. Lineage: Eukaryota; Metazoa; Chordata; Mammalia; Rodentia; Cricetidae.
CAAGGAACACGAAAGAGCCUAGAGAUCACGGUAGAAAGCCCAUCGUUGGGACGCUAAGCGUGAACCCCAGAGCGAGCUCUGGUCUGGAGUGCUGGCAUGUCAAGGGACGGUUACGACCCUAACAAAGUGGACCAGCUGACCUUGCCUUGCCAACGUGGAUUAUAGCUCAGGAAAAGGGAGAGACAACCCAAACAAGGAGGUCCAUUUUAUAGCGGAAAAACAGCCGUGGGGCUGCAGAGUGGAGGUUCCUAACGUCGCUCGGAGCCAGCUGAGGACAACCAUGGAGCUGUGAGGACAAUCACCAUUGAUUUAUUUUAUUUUCUGCAUGUGAUUAUUUUACCUGCAUAUAUGGAUGUGUACCACAUGGCUGCCUAUUGCUUGAAGAGGACAGAAGAGUGCGUUUGAUGCUCUGGAACUGGUUACAGACUGUUGAAAGUUACCACGUGGGUGCUGGGAAUCCCAGUCCUCUGCAAGAGCAGCCAGUGAAGCCAUCAAGCCAUCCCAAGAGUUUGUUCUUCAUGGACACCAAAGUAGGCACUCUAUUGGAACUCGAGGAGUGGACGGCAUCCUGAAAACCUGGACUCGUGCUGAGUGGUUCAAGUCAACAUACCUUUGUGUUGUCUCCUCUGGGAGAGAUGAGCUCUUGUGUUGUCCUCAUGAAAGCUGGGACCUUUCAAAGCAGCAUGCCCGGGCAGAAGGCUAGGGCUGGGCAUUUGCAGUGGAACAAAGUGGGGUGGGUUACUCUUCGAAGUUUUCCCAUUUUCCCAACAAACAUUCCCACCACAAUCACCCCUCCUGGGGGAACAUAGCCCAUCCUGUUUCCUCUGCCCGCAACCGCAGGGGAUAGCCAUUGGAUUCAAGCUGGCUGACCAUGGUGUCCUACUCACCUAACUGCAUGACUAACAUGUGACCCAAUGAGGCCACAGUCUUAAGUUUUUUUUCUCUGUAUAGCUGUAUCACAAUGUGAAAAACUAUUCGAUUCGAAAUUGAAGUUUUUUUCUGGCAACAACCCCUAUCUUCCUGAAGUGUGACUAAAACCAGGUUGGAAUAAUGAAAAUGGCAGGUUCUACUUGACCCUGAGACCUGGAUCUGCUUUCCAAGGAUUCGGUUCCCACAGCAAUUUUGUGAGUUCUGUUGAAUCUAUUGAAUCCAGUUGGAAUAGGUUCCCUUUCCAAGUUUUAAACUUUAUCCUGGCAAGUCAAAUUGAACUCAGUGUAGUCGCGAUGCUGAACAGAGUCCACAAGAUGGCGCCAAAAGCAUUCUUUCCAUAGCUUCCCAACCAGAUGUUCACCCUGAUAAGCCACA